AGAGUUUGAUCCUGGCUCAGAGCGAACGCUGGCGGCAGGCUUAACACAUGCAAGUCGAGCGGGCGUAGCAAUACGUCAGCGGCAGACGGGUGAGUAACGCGUGGGAACGUACCUUUUGGUUCGGAACAACCCAGGGAAACUUGGACUAAUACCGGAUAAGCCCUUACGGGGAAAGAUUUAUCGCCGAAAGAUCGGCCCGCGUCUGAUUAGCUAGUUGGUGAGGUAACGGCUCACCAAGGCGACGAUCAGUAGCUGGUCUGAGAGGAUGAUCAGCCACAUUGGGACUGAGACACGGCCCAAACUCCUACGGGAGGCAGCAGUGGGGAAUAUUGGACAAUGGGCGCAAGCCUGAUCCAGCCAUGCCGCGUGAGUGAUGAAGGCCCUAGGGUUGUAAAGCUCUUUUGUGCGGGAAGAUAAUGACGGUACCGCAAGAAUAAGCCCCGGCUAACUUCGUGCCAGCAGCCGCGGUAAUACGAAGGGGGCUAGCGUUGCUCGGAAUCACUGGGCGUAAAGGGUGCGUAGGCGGGUCUUUAAGUCAGGGGUGAAAUCCUGGAGCUCAACUCCAGAACUGCCUUUGAUACUGAAGAUCUUGAGUUCGGGAGAGGUGAGUGGAACUGCGAGUGUAGAGGUGAAAUUCGUAGAUAUUCGCAAGAACACCAGUGGCGAAGGCGGCUCACUGGCCCGAUACUGACGCUGAGGCACGAAAGCGUGGGGAGCAAACAGGAUUAGAUACCCCGGUAGUCC
Molecule: ribosomal RNA, 744 nt
Filed under: uncultured bacterium
Lineage: Bacteria
Description: bacterial SSU rRNA
Rfam family: Bacterial small subunit ribosomal RNA
Source: RNAcentral